Molecule: microRNA precursor, 73 nt
Filed under: Musca domestica (house fly)
Lineage: Eukaryota; Metazoa; Arthropoda; Insecta; Diptera; Muscidae
Also listed under: 1 other name
Description: mir-137 microRNA precursor family
Rfam family: mir-137 microRNA precursor family
Source: Rfam by way of RNAcentral
AAUGGCCACGCGUAUUCUUAGGUUACUAACAUGUAUUUGUUAUUGUUAUUGCUUGAGAAUACACGUAGUUAAC